CGAAAUCUAUCCAAAAGACAUAUGUACAUAUAUGCGGAAUACAGUGGGUGAGCCGACAAGGCUCAUAUAGACAACUAUAUACCCAAAACUAAAAGCCAACAAGGCCACACACUAUCCAACUAUACAUAACUAUCUACAAACCUCUAAUAGAAAUAUAUUUGUACAAAGAAGGGACUGAGCCAAAUCAUACCCAUAUAUAUAUAUAUAUAUAUAUACAAGCAUAUCAUACCAAAAUCAAAAGCAUCUCCGGAUCAAGUGGAACACGCCAACUCUCGCUGAUCAAGGAUCCUAAGAAGGGGGAUCGUCAGCUUACUUACCUGCACCUGCAGGCAUGAAAUGUAGGCCCCAUAAAAUAGGGCGUCAGUACGAAAAAUGUACUGAGUAUGUAAGGCAUGAAAAUUAGUACGUAAAAGACAUAGAAGAAACAUGGAAUAAAGAAACACGUCUUUAAAUAUGAAUAAGUUUGUAAAUUCUGAAACAUUUAUAAUGCCAUGCACGUACGUAUAAAUGUCGUGUCAUGCAUAGGUAUGGGUGUACAUAAUAUUAUCAAGCCACUGAGGGCAUCCCAUCAUAUCAUCUCGGCAACUAUGGGAAGCAUCAUGAACAUAUACCAACUGAUUUGGUGUUAGUGCAUAUAUAACAUCAUAACCUUUUCCCAUAUUCCAUAUACAUUUAUUUAAAUAUAUACGCGUAUAUAACGCCAUCUGGUCAUGGGUCAAUGCACAUGUAUAAAUGGGUGAAAUGCAUGAAAAAUACAUAAAAAUCUCAAUAUUCUUUUCGGAUAAAUUUUUUUAACUGUGUAUUAUUCUAAGACCCAUGAACAGAAGAUAAUAAUAAUUCUUAUGGGGAUCAAGAAUAUAGGCACCGCUAGUAUUUUUAUGAAUAGAGUAAUUUAUGGAAAUUGUGUUUUUGCUCAUUUCUUAUGUAUAAUUUGGAUCAUGCCAAAAGAAAGAAGGGAUGACCUUAACAUACCUGGAGUAGGGAAAAAUUCAUAUAAUAUUCUUGGCGAAGAUUGCACCGUACACUUUCAGAACCACAAAAUUUGGAUGGAAUUAAGCUUCUGCUCGUUGAAGCUUUUGAACAAUUUAGCUUUAGUCCUUGGCGUUGAAAUGUUUGAACGAUUAUGCUCAUGUUUUUGGCAUUGAAAUGUUUGAACGAUUAUGCUCUUGUUCUUGGCAUUGAAAUGUUUGAACCAAGAAAGAAAGUUCCUUCCUUUAGGAAUUUUUGGUCAUUUCUUGGUUCUGUUUUUGAGAGUGGCAAUGUUAGACAUUUUGUUUGAAAGCCAUAUUUUUGUCUUUU
RNAcentral lists this long non-coding RNA (1299 nucleotides) under Nicotiana tabacum (common tobacco). RNAcentral's name for it is "long non-coding RNA (NTAB_LNC009253)". Lineage: Eukaryota; Viridiplantae; Streptophyta; Magnoliopsida; Solanales; Solanaceae. The record is from RNAcentral.